RNAcentral lists this long non-coding RNA (2225 nucleotides) under Triticum aestivum (bread wheat). Its description in RNAcentral is "long non-coding RNA (TAES_LNC017992)". The record is from RNAcentral. Lineage: Eukaryota; Viridiplantae; Streptophyta; Magnoliopsida; Poales; Poaceae.
AGCAUUUCAAAUCGUACACUCAAUAUGCUCGAUAUGUGCAAAUACAACAUGGCAUCACAACAAAACUCUACAACUCAAUGUAUUUAUUCGUUAGGCUGCGAGGAGCCAAGUAUUACAACAUGGGUCUCAUGACCCAACAUACAGAGCAUACAAGCAACAAGCGGAAGCAUAACAUGUCUGAGUACAGACAGCUACAAUUGAAAAAGACCGAGAAGCCUGACUAUCUACAAGACCCUGCCGAGGGCACAAGAUCGUAGCUGAGGUAACCAGCUAAACGUCGAAGUCCACGCGGAACUACUAGCAAGACUGGAGUCUCUCUGCAAAAACAUAAAUUAAGCAAACGUGAGUACAAAUGUACCCAGCAAGACUUACAUCAGAACUAACUACAUAUGCAUCGGUAUCAACAAAGGGGGUGGUGGAGUUUAACUGCAGCAAGCCAGCUUUGACUCGGUGGCUAUCCUAAACUACGACUGCAAGUAACUCUUUUGAGGUGGCGCACACGAGUCCACAUAUUCACCAUAUCAAUACACCACUAUGGAUCCACUCCCGUCUCCCUACGAGAACGCCAUCCAUAGCACUCACGCUUAUCUUGCGCAUUUUAGAGUAUCCACUUUCACUUGUCUAUGAACUCUAUAGGCAACCCAGAGGUCCUUUACCGCGGACGCGGCUAUUCAAAUAGAUGAUGUUAACCCUGCAGGGAUGUACUUCUUCACACACGCUCUCACCACUUAUCGCCGUUUACACGGCAUGUACUCGGCAACCUUCAAGCGGAAGCCCAGCGAGGGUGUCGGCCACGACCUGACUAACCACACAAGUCCCUAGUCCAGGUUUAUCGCCUAUUCAGGUCCCAUCCGCAGGGAGUCCGGCCGAGGUUUCCACAUACGGCCUCGAACGAUGUGUGCAGGGUUCCCGAGACACCAAAUGGGCGCCCGGAACACCGUGCCACGUGCCUACCGCAUCACAGCCCACCCCUCGGGUCAGCGCUGCGCACGACCUCCAGCAUACUACAAACACUAGAAUCUACUUGCAACUCCCGGACAGAGGACAGGGGCGGUUAAUAAGUUGAGAGGGUCCAUUGGUUUUGGGCCCAACGCGUGGUAGUAGAUUUUCAUGGAUCACAGACAUAGAACUCAUUUCCUGAGGACAGUUUCAAUGAGACAACCCACCAUGUACUCCUACAUGGCCUCUCACCGCUACCUUUACCAAAUCGUGUUCACACACUUAGCUCACACACAGUAGGACAUGUUCAUCACCAUUCCAAUUCAUCCCCGAUGAAUUAGACCUGACUCAACUCUAAGCAGUAGCAGGCAUGACAAACAAGCAUGAAUGAGUAGGCACAUCAGGUCUCAAACAACUCCUACUCAUGCUAGUGGGUUUCAUCUAUUUACUGUGGCAAUGACAGGUCAUGCAGAGGAAAGGGGUUCAACUACCGCAUCAUGUAACGGUUGCAUCGUUGUUGUCCUAAUGUAGUAAAAGAGAGCAGGAGCGAGAGAGUGGGAUUGUAUCGGAAUGAACAAGGGGGUUUUGCUUGCCUGGCACUUCUGAAGAUAGUAUAGCUCUUCAUCGAUGUCAUCGAACUCAUCGUCGGAACAGGUCUUAUCGAGAGGGAACAACCACCGGCAACAGAGAAGGAACACAAUCAAUGCAAUGACACAAUAUGAUGCAUGAAUGUGACAUGGCAAAAUGCUGUGAUUUGAGCUAAUGCAGUUAGCAACGAUUUAAAUGGAGGUGGUUUGAACACUAGAUACAAAUUAAAACUCCACAUAAGGCAUUUCAAAUGCCAUUAAUUCAAAUUGUCUUAUACAGCAACUUUAAGUUGUUCAAACAUGCAUGAAAAUGGUACAGAUGGAUAGAUGAAAUUUUUCAGCUCAUUUUUCAUAUAUGAUUUAUUUCAUUUGGAGUUACAGAUUAUUUGCUAUGAUUUUUAGAAGUUUUGGAUAUUUUCUGAAAUAAAUAAAUCAUUUCUGAAUUAUUAUAAAUCCCAGAGAAUAUUUAUUGCAUCAGCUUGACGUCACUGUGAUGUCAGCAGGUCAACGGGGCGGUCCAGGUCAAACUGACCAGUGGGUCCUGCGUGUCAGAUUCUAACUAAACUAACAUAAUUUAGUUACCACUAACCUAACUUAAUUAGCAGGGCGGCCCCACCUGUCACUGACCCAGUGGAGGUCAAACCCCUGGUCAACCGAGGUAAAUGGUCGGCGGCUCGACGCCGGCGAAGUCAGACGUGG